Molecule: long non-coding RNA, 1340 nt
Filed under: Vitis vinifera (wine grape)
Lineage: Eukaryota; Viridiplantae; Streptophyta; Magnoliopsida; Vitales; Vitaceae
Description: long non-coding RNA (VVIN_LNC003542)
Source: RNAcentral
CUCGAGAAACCUAAAAAUUCUACCCUUACGCUUAUAGAAGGUAGCGAAAGGAGUAGAGAUCAAAUGUAAAAAUGAGAAUAAGAAAAUUAACUCUUAAGGCUCAAUAUUGUUAAAAGGAAAUCAAAUUCUGCUGACACGAAACUAAAGAAAUGAGGAAUAGACAACGCAACAUCAAGAUAAAAAACAAACAAAGAAAUUAAUGGAUUCAAAAUUAAUUUUCUAGAACACACGUAUAGUAGACAUAUAACACGAAAACAUAAAAGAUAAAUAAGAAGAACAACGCAAAAUUUGAGAGAAUAGGGAAUAUGGAGAAAACUUAUUGAAGAACUAAUUCCCAAUAAACUUCUCUUGACCAGGGGAAACCUGAAAAUUCUACCCUUACGCUUAAAGCAAGGUAGAGAAAGGAGUAGAGAUCAAAUUUUAAAACCACAAUGUACUUGAAAGUAAAUAAAAUUAUUUUGAUAAGAAACUAAAGAAAUGAGAAAUAGAAAACACAACAUAGAGCAAUAAAAAAAAACAAUGAAAUCAAAGGAUUGAAAAUUCAUUAUCCACUAGAUACACGCAGUGAACAAAUAACACUCAAACAUAAAAAAAAAAAGAAUGAAGAACAAUGCGAAAUGGUGGAGAAUAGGGGAUACAGAGAAAACUUACCUGACAAAUAUUUCCAAACAAACCACUCUUUUCCUCGGGAAACCUAAAAAAUUCUACACUUAUGCUUAUAGAAUGUAGCGAAAUGAGUAGAUAUCAAAAGUAAAAACGAGAAUAAGAAAAUUAAUUCUUAAGGCGCAAUAUCGUUGAAAGGAAAUCAAAUUAUGCAAAUACAAAACUAAAGAAAUGAGGAAUAGACAACGCAAGAUCAAGAUAAAAAACAACCAAAGAAAUUAACGGAUUCAAAAUUAAUUUUCUAGUACACAGAUACAGUAGACAUAUAACAUGAAAACAUACAAGAUAAAUAUGAAGAACAUUGCAAAAUUUGAGAGAAUAGGGAAUACGGAGGAAACUUAUCCAAGAACUAAUUCUCAAUAAACUUUCCUUCACAACGGGAAACCUGAAAAUUCUACCCUUUCGCUUAAAGCAAGGUACAGAAAGGAUUAGAGAUCAAAUGUUAAAACCACAAUGUCCUUGAAAGUAAAUAAAAUUAUUUUGAUAAGAAACUAAAGAAAUGAGCAAUAGAAAACACAACAUAGAGCUCUAAAAAAAACAAUGAAAUCAAAGGAUUGAAAAUUCAUUCUCUACUACAUACACGUAGUCAACAAAUAACACUCAAACAAAAUAGAGACGAAUGAAGAACAAUGCGAAAUGGAGGAGAAUAGGUGAUACAAACAAACUACUCUUUUCCU